AAUCCAAGAUGUGGAUAUUUGCAGAGUAGCCCUUGUACCUUUCCCAGGCCUCGUAAUAGCAUUCUAAAUCCAAUUGAGCGAAAAUAGUGAUUCUAUCUCUCAGCUU
Molecule: small nucleolar RNA, 106 nt
Filed under: Olea europaea subsp. europaea
Lineage: Eukaryota; Viridiplantae; Streptophyta; Magnoliopsida; Lamiales; Oleaceae
Description: Plant small nucleolar RNA R71
Rfam family: Plant small nucleolar RNA R71
About the family: R71 is a member of the C/D box family of snoRNAs containing the C (UGAUGA) and D (CUGA) box motifs.
Source: Rfam by way of RNAcentral